Molecule: long non-coding RNA, 596 nt
Organism: Dalotia coriaria
Lineage: Eukaryota; Metazoa; Arthropoda; Insecta; Coleoptera; Staphylinidae
Exons: 2
Source: RefSeq, a predicted model, not a curated record
AAAUGAACAACCGUAGGGUAUUUCUCAUGAAUUGAAAAAGAAAAUAUUCGCCAAACUGCUUCAUGACUACUAACAUAACGGCCCAUUUGGUAAUGGGUAACUUCCUCACUGGAAUUCUCUGCACCAAUUCCUAUCACAGCUAUAUCAAUCCCUUUGGUUACAUAUUUGCAAAUGUAUUUAAUAGAUUUUACUGAAUGGCAAGAUUCAACGUUGAUGUGCGCUUCGAAGAUCUUUGAUAGAAUAAUGGAUAACCAUCAUUACCAGUAAUUGUUUCCGAUAUUAUUGUCCGUGGAUAUUGCUUUGAACAUUUACCAUCCACCAUACACGGUGAAUUUGGAUUAAGAGUUUCACAGGGACCAUGUAUCAUGUUUUUGGUAACUAUAUCAUGCAAAGAUUUUAACUGAUAUCACUGCAUCAACUUCAUUUGGCCUUAUUUUUUCCACCAACGAAAUCAAAAUGUGUUCAUGUGGCAAUCAUCGUAUCUGCGACUUCACAGAAUACAGCAGCGUGUCUCACCAAACACUUUAUGUUUUACAAUGAAAUACAUUAAAGAUUUCAACCUUUGUCUAAAGACUCUGGUUGUAAUAUCAUGACGA